UACGGGGGGAGCAAGCGUUGUUCGGAUUUACUGGGCGUAAAGGGCGCGUAGGCGGCCACCGCAAGUCAGUUGUGAAAUCUCUGGGCUUAACCCAGAAAGGUCAACUGAUACUGCGGGGCUAGAGUGCAGAAGGGGCAACUGGAAUUCUCGGUGUAGCGGUGAAAUGCGUAGAUAUCGAGAGGAACACCUGUGGCGAAGGCGGCUCACUGGUCCGGUACUGACGCUGAGGUGCGAAAGCGUGGGGAGCAAACAGG
Molecule: ribosomal RNA, 254 nt
Filed under: uncultured bacterium
Lineage: Bacteria
Description: partial 16S ribosomal RNA
Rfam family: Bacterial small subunit ribosomal RNA
Source: RNAcentral